Molecule: non-coding RNA, 216 nt
Filed under: uncultured Eubacteriales bacterium
Lineage: Bacteria; Bacillati; Bacillota; Clostridia; Eubacteriales
Source: RNAcentral
CGUGUCCCACGUGAUGACUGCCGGAACCGGCAGGCGCUGGGAUGAGGAAAUCCGGUUAGAGUCCGGAGCAUAACCCGUUGCUGUAAGUGCAGGAGUCUGUUAUCCGCGGCGUGAGCCGGCCAUUGGGAAACUGAGAAGGUAGGAUAACAGGCGCAGGGGCGAUCUUCGCCCCCCAAUGCAUGAGCCAGAAGACCGACGAUGUUCGAGACCGAAGGG